GCCAGCAGCUAUAUCACACUGCAACUCACAAAUGGCAACCCACUGAAGAUAAGCAGAUAUGAGCCUGCAGUACCUGGGUGGGAGACCUCCUGGAAAAACAUAAGUUGCAGCUGGAA
Molecule: ribosomal RNA, 116 nt
Filed under: Lepisosteus oculatus (spotted gar)
Lineage: Eukaryota; Metazoa; Chordata; Actinopteri; Semionotiformes; Lepisosteidae
Source: RNAcentral